GAUGAACGCUGGCGGCGUGCCUAAUACAUGCCAGUCGAGCGAACGGACGAGAAGCUUGCUUCUCUGAUGUUAGCGGCGGACGGGUGAGUAACACGUGGAUAACCUACCUAUAAGACUGGGAUAACUUCGGGAAACCGGAGCUAAUACCGGAUAAUAUUUUGAACCGCAUGGUUCAAAAGUGAAAGACGGUCCUGCUGUCACUUAUAGAUGGAUCCGCGCUGCAUUAGCUAGUUGGUAAGGUAACGGCUUACCAAGGCAACGAUGCAUAGCCGACCUGAGAGGGUGAUCGGCCACACUGGAACUGAGACACGGUCCAGACUCCUACGGGAGGCAGCAGUAGGGAAUCUUCCGCAAUGGGCGAAAGCCUGACGGAGCAACGCCGCGUGAGUGAUGAAAGUCUUCGGAUCGUAAAACUCUGUUAUUAGGGAAGAACAUAUGUGUAAGUAACUGUGCACAUCUUGACGGUACCUAAUCAGAAAGCCACGGCUAACUACGUG
Molecule: ribosomal RNA, 497 nt
Filed under: uncultured bacterium
Lineage: Bacteria
Description: partial 16S ribosomal RNA
Rfam family: Bacterial small subunit ribosomal RNA
Source: RNAcentral